This 808-nucleotide ribosomal RNA is filed under the name uncultured bacterium. RNAcentral describes it as "bacterial SSU rRNA". It matches the Rfam family "Bacterial small subunit ribosomal RNA", at positions 30 to 876 of the family's 1533-position model. The record is from RNAcentral.
GAGACGCUGGCGGUAUGCCUACACAUGCAAGUCGUACGAGAGUUUUUAACUCAAGUGGCGGACGGGUGAGUAACACGUGAGAAUUUACCUUUAGGAGGGGGACAACAACUGGAAACGGUUGCUAAUACCCCAUAUGCUUUCGAGUGAAAUGAAUUUAUUCGCCUGAAGAGAAGCUCGCGGCUGAUUAGCUUGUUGGUAGGGUAAGAGCCUACCAAGGCGACGAUCAGUAUCUGGUUUGAGAGGACGAUCAGACACACUGGAACUGAGACACGGUCCAGACUCCUACGGGAGGCAGCAGUGGGGAAUUUUCCGCAAUGGGCGAAAGCUUGACGGAGCAAUACCGCGUGAGGGAAGACGGCCUAUGGGUUGUAAACCUCUUUUUUCAGGGAGGAAUUCAAUGACGUGUACCUGAAGAAUAAGCAUCGGCUAACUCCGUGCCAGCAGCCGCGGUAAGACGGAGGAUGCAAGUGUUAUCCGGAAUCACUGGGCGUAAAGCGUCUGUAGGUUGUUAAACAAGUCAACUGUUAAAUCUUGAGGCUCAACUUCAAAAUCGCAGUCGAAACUGUUUGACUAGAGUAUAGUAGGGGUAAAGGGAAUUUCCAGUGGAGCGGUGAAAUGCGUAGAUAUUGGAAAGAACACCAAUGGCGAAGGCACUUUACUGGGCUAUUGCUGACACUCAGAGACGAAAGCUAGGGUAGCAAAUGGGNAUUAGAUACCCCAGUAGUCCUAGCCGUAAACAAUGGAUACUAGAUGUUGAACAGAUCGACCUGUGCAGUAUCAAAGCUAACGCGUUAAGUAUCCCGCCUGG